RNAcentral lists this ribosomal RNA (568 nucleotides) under Diderma cattiense. RNAcentral describes it as "bacterial SSU rRNA". It matches the Rfam family "Eukaryotic small subunit ribosomal RNA", at positions 13 to 546 of the family's 1831-position model. Lineage: Eukaryota; Evosea; Eumycetozoa; Physariida; Didymiaceae. The record is from RNAcentral.
CCUGCCAGUAGUGUAUGCUUCUCCUAAAGACUAAGCCAUGCAUGCCUUAGAAUAAGGAGUGUAUUCUCUCUGAAUCUGCGAACGGCUCCGCAAAACAGUUGUAAACUAUAGCAAGCUAUCUGCAGGUUUUCUUUCGGGAAGGCUUGUGGGUAACAGGAUAACCCUGGUAAUUCUGAGGCUAAUACGUAUACAUAAAACUCAGUCAACCCGUAAGGGAAGGCUGGGGGGUGUGUGACCAUUAGUAAGGAGCCAGGAAUGGGUGCACGCUCAAACCAUCGUAAAAAACUCCAGAUCCUUCGAGGUGUAUUGGUUGGUGGGCCUUGCUGUGUGCAUCUGACCUAUCAACUAGAUGGCAGCGUAACGGACAUGCAAUGGUUACAACGGGUACAGAGGAUUAGGGUUCGAUCCUGGAGAGUGGGCCUGAGAGAUUGCUCAUACUUCUAAGGAAGGCAGCAGGCGCGCAACGUUCCCCUUGGGCAAUGCCCGAGGGCGUUAGGGGACAUAUGAAUGGUUGCCUUUUAGGUGGCCAAUUCAAAUGGGUCUGUUCUAAACAGUCUCUCGAGUAACA